This 330-nucleotide ribosomal RNA is filed under the name uncultured bacterium. RNAcentral describes it as "bacterial SSU rRNA". It matches the Rfam family "Bacterial small subunit ribosomal RNA", at positions 568 to 898 of the family's 1533-position model. The record is from RNAcentral.
UCCGUAGGCGGUGUGGUAAGUCGAUAGUGAAAUCUCUGGGCUUAACCCAGAGGCUGCUAACGAAACUGCCAUGCUAGAGUGUGAGAGAGGCGAGUGGAAUUACGGGUGUAGCGGUGAAAUGCGUAGAUAUCCGUAGGAACAUCCGAGGCGAAGGCGGCUCGCUGGAUCACAACUGACGCUGAGGGACGAAAGCUAGGGGAGCAAACAGGAUUAAAUACCCUGGUAGUCCUAGCCCUAAACCAUCAGGACUUGGGGUUUGCCCUGUACGGGGCAAGUCCCGUAGCUAACGCGUUAAGUCCUGCGCCUGGGGAGUACGGUCGCAAGGCUGAA